Molecule: long non-coding RNA, 238 nt
Filed under: Gossypium barbadense (sea-island cotton)
Lineage: Eukaryota; Viridiplantae; Streptophyta; Magnoliopsida; Malvales; Malvaceae
Description: long non-coding RNA (GBAR_LNC012484)
Source: RNAcentral
UUCGAUCUGCUCUCUGUCACUACAGAGACGCCAAAUCAUCUUGGAUUUGCUUCAACGUAAACACGUGAAAGCCAAAUCAGCUAUGUCUUCGAUAUGCUCCCUGCUUGAUACAGAGAUGCCAAAUCAUCUUGGAUCUGCUUCAACGUAAACACGUGAAAGCCAAAUCAGCUAUGUCUUCGAUCUGCUCCCCGCCUGAUAAAGAAAUGCCAAAUCAUCUUGGAUAUAUUCAGCUUGUUGC